UGGGGUGUAGCUCUGUGGUAGGGGCUUGCCUUACAUGCAAGAGGCCUGGGUUUGACCCCCAGCACUGCAG
RNAcentral lists this transfer RNA (70 nucleotides) under Ictidomys tridecemlineatus (thirteen-lined ground squirrel). RNAcentral describes it as "Spermophilus tridecemlineatus (thirteen-lined ground squirrel) tRNA". It matches the Rfam family "tRNA". Rfam says of the family: Transfer RNA (tRNA) molecules are approximately 80 nucleotides in length. The record is from Rfam by way of RNAcentral. Lineage: Eukaryota; Metazoa; Chordata; Mammalia; Rodentia; Sciuridae.